This is a long non-coding RNA of Pseudopipra pipra, 3749 nucleotides long. RefSeq lists it as uncharacterized. Lineage: Eukaryota; Metazoa; Chordata; Aves; Passeriformes; Pipridae. The transcript has 3 exons. The record is from RefSeq and is a predicted model, not a curated record.
GAGUUAUUUCUGAUCAGAAGACCUCAACUGGAAUACCAUACCUUGUGUUACUUCUUUAUCCACAAUCAGGUUGCUGGAAGCUCCUGAACAAGCAGAAGACCACAACUAACCUGAAAGCCAAGCAGAAGCAGAAGCCUACAUGAUUAUACAUACUGAUGUAUGUCCAUAGCCGCUCUUCCAUGGAUUUAGCUAUUUAGUUUCCAGGUUUCCACUGACGUUAAAGGACCAGGACCCUUCAGUCAGACUCCCUGAUGGAUCCCAGUUGCAGAUCUCUGUAUCUGGAAACAUCAGUAUAUGAACGAAGUGGACCAGGAGAUUCCUACCUACUGUUACUGGUAGAAGAUCCCCACAGUGUUGAUGGGCAAGAUUCACUGCCUCCUUGAGCACAUCCAGCCUUCUCAGAGCUCCAACACUGUGGUAAUUAACUCUCUCUGCAUCUUAGAACAUAAGCACUCAGAGACCGAAGGAUUGGGGAAUUGGAUAAUGCUGUGUUCUUUUAGAAGCAUCAUGCAUGGAGUUCAUUGCACUUUGUUUCUGCAAACUCUUUAGAGUUUGUUGAUAGCGUAACGUGAUACUGAGUCUGCGCAAGAGAGAAGCUGGGAAGUACUGUACAGGAAGAUAAAGUAGUGCAUCUUGGUAUGUGAAAUGCAGACGCACCAUUCCUGUUUUACAGCCACAGCUUUUGCAAAGUGCUGAGUAUCUAAAUGGGUCACAGACUUUUACACUGGCACUACAGUACAUUCUGUCUGAAGGCAUCCCUCCUUCGCAAUAUAGACACUGCAGAAAACGAUUCAGAGAUGCUGUUUCUACUUUUUUUUUUAACCCCAAAGGAGAAAGAAAGAUAAAGGGAGGCUUAGGAAAGGGUUCCAAAAGCUGUUAUGGUUAUACAGCCUUGACUAAAGUAAAGAAUUCAUGAUAGUGAUUUCCACACUUUAAAAGAUUUCAGCAGAAUUGAUUCAAUUAAACAGAUAAUGUAACUUAAGCCAAUGACAUUAUUCCACAAAUUGUUUUUGUUAAUAGUUUUUUUCUUUUCUGAAAUGCUGUUGCCCUGAUUCAGGGUUUACACAUGCCAGUGCUAACAUCCACAUUUUAAAAUUUAUGGUCUUGCCUUUAAAUCAAUUUUAAAACCACCAGCAUAACUGAACUUCCUUGGCAGAGACCUAUGGGAAUACAUUUUCCAAGUUCGUAUAUGGGAGGUAGAUCCACAAAUCUUGUUUAUAGGUAAUGGGAUUUGUGCUCUCUAUUACAGACAGAGAACUAUGCCUUGCAAAUUAUAUUUUUGUUGAAGCAAAAUUUUUGUUUCAUGAUUGGUUGAAGUGACUGUGAUGUAACAGCAGGCCAUGGUCAGAAUAAUUCAAGCCCUUUACUUCCUUCUCCAGAGAGCCAUACUAAAAAUAAAAACAUUUUGCUCCUUUUCUCAAAGUUAUAUAGUUUUGUGGGCACCAAAUGACCAAAUAGAUGUGAAAAAGAAAAAAAAUAAAUUAAAAGUUCUCUGAAAGAAAGAAAGAAUAUAGUCCCACUGCAGGCUUGUCCAACUUAGAAUAGCUAGCAUAUUAGCAUCAUAGAGUAGCAUUUCCUCCUAGUGCUCACUUUGCUGAAUUGUAAACUGUGCUUUGCUGCCACUUUAAGUACUGCUAACUGCAAGACACUCCUGGGCUCACAUCAUGUAUAAAAUCUUCCUUGUUCUAUACAGAUCUAAUAAAAUGGAUUCCUUUCAGCAUCAUUCACUCAAUAGAUUUUACAUUUAGAUUACAGAGAUAAACCUAUAAAUAUUGCAAUAAAAAUCAGAAGUCUGAAGGGCCGUAUCUUUCUAUGUAUUGAAGAGUAUAACCUACAGUGCCAGUUGAGUCUGCACCCCACCAUGCUCCCAGGUGUACCAAAUAUCUGUGGAAUUUCCUUGAAGAACUUACUGCUGGCCAACAGGUAAGAGAAGCAGAUUUCUGUGGGUGCAGACUACAGAGAAAUGGAGCAAUGAUAACCUGAAAAUCUGCCUACAAAAAUUUUCUCAGCAUUAUGAAAGAGUAUGAUAGCAAAUGAGGGCUGGCAAGAGUGGUUAUCAUUUUUGGAAACACUUAUGAACAGCUGUAGCAAGCAGGAAUAACAUAUUCAUCAAGAGAAAACUGAUCCUAUCUUUCAACGAAUAUUAUAUCUGUGUGCACUGAAAUCCAGUAUCUGCAAGAAUUGUGACAAUCAUUUUCCAGCUAGUACUGAACUAGUUCAUGUCCACAGAGCACUGUCCUGCUUAAAAUCUCUUAAUUUAAACAUCUAGUCAAAAUUACUCCUGAGAACGGAAACAACCGGUAUAUGCAAGAAAGGUCUUGAGGGCUCUCCCACUCUUCCAGUCCUCACCUUCUCCAUCCCUCGCUCACAAUUGGGUUAUUCCCAUCCCUUGUUGUGUUAUGUCCAAUCCAGACUGGAGGUCAUCUAUGGUCCAGACUGGACCUUUUUUAAAUUACCUGUAAAGCAACAUGCACAUCUCUGGAUUUUUAUGAAGAACAAUUAGAUCACUGCAUAAACUGACCAUUUGGCCCUUCAAAGAAUAGCAAAAGAAUUAUAGUUGCAAGUAUAUCAUCUGCAUUUAGGCAGUGCCCUAUCUGCAUUACUGUUGAGGACCCCUGGUGGUCUAGUGGUUAGGAUGCAGCACUCUCGCUGCCACGGCCCAGGUUCGAUUCCCGGUCAGGGAAACUCCCCCGGGCAGAUGGAGCUCGUCAGCCCUGUAAGGCCAUCCAUCUAAGAGAAGGUCACUCUAAACAAACCUACGUCCUGAGGACCUCACUGCCACUGUCCAAGCUCGCUCGGCCCCGGCAGCUGAACCUUAGGAUUAAAGGGUGGGCUCAGUUCAGCACACACUGUGUCUCACCUAAAAAAUCCACUGUGCAGGCUUGAAGGGUAAUGACCUUCCCCAAAAUCUUCAUUUGCGAAGACUGGCCAUGAUGACCUGCACUGCUGCUGGUAUAAACCUUAAUUUUUACAGUGACACUGUUUGACAGUUAUCAGUGCUUUCCAGGUCUUUAGGAAGAAUUGUACCAGCCUGGUACAAUUGAAGGCUUCCUGUGAAGGAAGGACCUUCACAGUUUCCUGGUGUGGAGAGGAGGGAACUAGACUUCCACUGCUUUCUUGCAUCACUUUGGGAACCUGGGGCAAAGGGCAUGUUUGGGCUUUCUCCUCUUUAACCUACAGAGCCCAAUGUCAUUAGUUCACAUUCUAAGUGUCUUUGAAAAAGUUGGUGGGACAAGUUUUUUGCUAAUCUGCAAGGAUGCACAUGGCAUUGGAAAUACCUGCUUCAGAAAAUUCCACCUUAUGUCUAUAAAAUGAGCAUCUUCCAAGAUGAACUCCCCGUAAACAUCUGGAAAAUGUCACCAUCAACUUACAUUGAAGUCAAGACACGAACCUUGGCUGACCUGCUUGUGUAGUUCUCUGUAAUCCCUCACUUCCUCACAAAGCUAGGUGAAUGGUCUCAGAAAACCAUGGACCUCUUGGUAAAUCAUAAAUCUGCUGGCUUGUUAGUUUGGGGGUUUUGAGGAACAGAUUUCAGGAAGUAGUGAGGAAUAAUGAUGCUCUGGGAUGUUUCAUCAUUUUUCCAUCCUCUACAGAGUUUACACAUGUUGUCUGUAACUUUCCCUGUGGAUUUGAAGGAAGGAACUCAGCUAUCUCAAUGUCUAAUUUUUGAGUUUUAUUAAUCAGAAUUGUUUUUUAAAUUAUAGUGCUCUGUAAGAUGAGAAUUACCAUAUCUUCAAUAAAGAAAUAGG